GCCGACGUGGUGGAAUUGGUAGACACGCUAGGCUUAGAACCUAGUGCCGCAAGGCGUGUGGGUUCGAGUCCCUCCGUCGGUACCA
Molecule: transfer RNA, 85 nt
Filed under: Deltaproteobacteria bacterium
Lineage: Bacteria; Pseudomonadati; Myxococcota; Myxococcia
Description: tRNA-Leu
Rfam family: tRNA
About the family: Transfer RNA (tRNA) molecules are approximately 80 nucleotides in length. Their secondary structure includes four short double-helical elements and three loops (D, anti-codon, and T loops).
Source: RNAcentral